Molecule: ribosomal RNA, 524 nt
Filed under: uncultured eukaryote
Lineage: Eukaryota
Description: SSU rRNA
Rfam family: Eukaryotic small subunit ribosomal RNA
Source: RNAcentral
UAGUCAUAUGCUUGUCUCAAAGAUUAAGCCAUGCAUGUCUAAGUAUAAACUGCUUUAUACUGUGAAACUGCGAAUGGCUCAUUAAAUCAGUUAUAGUUUAUUUGAUGGUACUUACUUACUCGGAUACCCGUAGUAAUUCUAGAGCUAAUACGUGCGUACAUCCCGACUUCUGGAAGGGACGUAUUUAUUAGAUAAAAGGCCGACCGGGCUUGCCCGACUCGCGGUGACUCAUGAUAACUUCACGAAUCGCAUGGCCUUGCGCCGGCGAUGUUUCAUUCAAAUUUCUGCCCUAUCAACUUUUGAUGGUAGGAUAGAGGCCUACCAUGGUGGUAACGGGUGACGGAGAAUUAGGGUUCGAUUCCGGAGAGGGGGCCUGAGAAACGGCUACCACAUCCAAGGAAGGCAGCAGGCGCGCAAAUUACCCAAUCCUGAUACAGGGAGGUAGUGACAAUAAAUAACAAUACCGGGCCUUUGGUCUGGUAAUUGGAAUGAGUACAACCUAAACACCUUAACGAGGAUCAAUU